GAAAUGCGAUAAGUAAUGUGAAUUGCAGAAUUCCGUGAAUCAUCGAAUCUUUGAACGCACAUUGCGCCCUCUGGCAUUCCGGGGGGCAUGCCUGUCCGAGCGUCAUUACGCACCCUCAAGCCCGGCUUGUGUGAUGGGCCCCGGCGUCUCGUUCGCGAGACGGGCCCGAAAGGCAGCGGCGGCGUCGACCCGAUGAGCCCGAGCGUAUGGGGACUUCUGUCACACGUUCGCGGUGCGGACCGGCGCCUGCUUUGACUUUUCUGAUUAUCCAGGUUGACCUCGGAUCAGGUAGUGAUACCCGCUGAACUUAAGC
RNAcentral lists this unclassified non-coding RNA (313 nucleotides) under plant metagenome. RNAcentral describes it as "partial contains 5.8S ribosomal RNA, internal transcribed spacer 2, and large subunit ribosomal RNA". The stretch from base 1 to 105 matches the Rfam family "5.8S ribosomal RNA", at positions 50 to 154 of the family's 154-position model. The record is from RNAcentral.